This 494-nucleotide ribosomal RNA is filed under the name uncultured bacterium. RNAcentral's name for it is "partial 16S ribosomal RNA". It matches the Rfam family "Bacterial small subunit ribosomal RNA", at positions 28 to 507 of the family's 1533-position model. The record is from RNAcentral.
GACGAACGCUGGCGGCGUGCUUAACACAUGCAAGUCGAACGGAAAGGCCUGCUUUCCCUUGUGGAUUGCGGGUACUCGAGUGGCGAACGGGUGAGUAACACGUGAGUGAUCUGCCCCCAACUUGGGUAUAAGCCUGGGAAACUGGGUCUAAUUCCCGAUAGGACUGCAGGGUGGUGCCUGUGGUGGAAAACGAUUUUCUAGUGGUUGGGGAUGAGCUCGCGGCCUAUCAGCUUGUUGGUGGGGUAAUGGCCUACCAAGGCGGCGACGGGUAGCCGGCCUGAGAGGGUGGACGGCGACAUUGGGACUGGGAUACGGCCCAGACUCCUACGGGAGGCAGCAGUGGGGAAUAUUGCACAAUGGGCGGAAGCCUGAUGCAGCGACGCCGCGUGGGGGAUGACGGCCUUCGGGUUGUAAACUCCUUUCGACCGCGAGGAAGCCACCUGGUUGGAAGGGUGGUGACGGUAGUGGUAGAAGAAGCACCGGCUAACUACGUG